UCGAGAAUGUCAGCCGACAUGAUACUGAACAUUUCUAGUUUGUUUUUCUUUUCUUUACAGUUCAGAUUGUAAAAUGUGAAUGUUCAACAUAUAGGAUAUAUAGCAUAUACUCCAUUUUGUAUCAGACGCAGAUUGGUUGGCAUCCCAUGACUGUUCCAACAAUGAUGAAUCUCUGCGACAGUGAUGAAACUCCGCGACAGUGAUGAAUCUCUGCAACAGUGAUGAAACUACGACGAUGAUGAAACUUUGCGACAAUGAUGAAACUCUAGACGAUAAUGAAACUCUGCGACGGUGAUGAAACAUCAUUAUAUUGCAUGCUUGUGCAACUGUUCUGUGAUGUGAUUUUAGCCGAUUAGGUUUGUCAGACACAUUUUGUCAAGUAGACCAAGAGUGCCAUUUGAUGUAUUAUCGAAGAUGCUGUAUUAAUGAUGUUGUGGCGAAUAUGAUGGAAUAAGAUGUAGUUUAAAUGGCACAGUAUGACACCUGAGCAGGACAGGACGGGACGGGAUGCAACGUGGCGGGACACAAUGGGAUGUAACAGACGUAACAGGACAAACAUGGGUAACACUAUAUGCCCCCAUUUCAUGGUGGGGUAUAAAAAUGCUGACACAUGGGUGCAGCAAUUUCGGUAUACCAUUUCUAUUUUCCAGACAAAAAAGAGCUUCAUUAAUAAGAAGCAUUCUGAUUGGUCAAUAAAGAUAUGAAUAUUA
Molecule: long non-coding RNA, 710 nt
Organism: Pecten maximus
Lineage: Eukaryota; Metazoa; Mollusca; Bivalvia; Pectinida; Pectinidae
Exons: 2
Source: RefSeq, a predicted model, not a curated record